GAGGCGGCCUCAGUGGGGGCUCCGCUCGGCACUUGGGCUUCGUCCCCGGCCCGUGGGGUGCAGCUGUUCCCACGCCAGCCACGCCGAGCAUCCACCCUGCCCGCGGUGUGGCCUCCGCCUCCCCCAGCCUCGCCUCCCUGCCACCCACUGGGGCUGUGGGGCUGGGAGGGUCGGAGAGCGGCCGCCGGCGUGGAGGCAGCACAGUGGCACUGAAUGAGCUGGCCGCUUCCAGUGGACGCGGUGUCCUGCUCGGCCAUGGGGGCCACGUGGAGCCCCCAUCACGGAGGUGGCCGACCCUCAGCCCCAGGAGCCAGGGAGGCUCUGGCCACCUCACCACACCUAUAAGCUCCGGGCCACCUGUGGGGGUCUCUGUGCCCCCACAGCAGAGGCUUGGCGUCUCCCCACUGCCCUCAGGAUCCUCUGCUCCCCUCUCCUGGUGGCGGCAGGCCUUGGGCUCCCAGCCUGCGCCUUCCCUAGAGCUGGGGCCUGUGCCCGAGUCCACGCAGGGUGGGGGUGGCGCUUAGUUGUCGCUCUGGGGACCCGUGGGCUCGAGAUAUGGGGGAGGGGGCACAGAGGGCACACGACGGGUGCUGCAGGGUGGACCCCUCAGGGGCAGAGUGGAUGCAGCUGGGCCCAGGGCUGCACGUCCUGACAGCAGCGUGGUGCUGGGUCCUCAGGACACCUGGGAGUGGACACCGCUGGGACAGGGCCCAGAACGUACGGUGGGGUCUGCUCAGCCUGGUGGCAUGCAGGGCUCUGGGGACGGACGUGCAACGCCCUCUGGCAGAGGCGCAGUGAACUUGGAGGACACAGCCCAGCCUCAGUGGGGCGGCAGGUGGAGCGGGUUAGGGUUAGGCCUGGCCACAGGAUGAGGGUGGAGGGCUGGACUGUGGGGAGCCCAGGCCGUCCUUCUGCAGAGACGGUGGAGGUGGGUGGUGCUGGCUGAGCCCUGGACAGCCGGGAAGGAGCCCUGGGGACCAGGGUGGUGGCCUGGGGUGGAUGGGCAGGUGUGCCAGAGGCUCUCGCAGGGAGAAGGGCCUCCUCCGCAGGGAGAUGAGAUCAGCGGUUCAGUGGGGCUGGGGUGGGCGGCGGAGCCUCCGAGGGACAGCAGGGCCGCUGCCUGUGUCCUCGCGCUCCUGAUGGACCGAGGGCCUCCAGCCAGCAGCGAGCAAGGCUCGCUUCAGCUCUGACUCACUUGCACCAAAAGGAAGUGGCCAUGGCAGCCCUGAGCCCACGGGGGACCCGUGGCACCCCAUCCCAGCCACACUCACUGGAAGUUCACUUUGUCCACCUGGAACCGUGUCUCGAAGAUGCCCGAGAUGAUUUGGUCCCAAGUGGACCAGGAGGUCCUGCCGUCACAGAGCGGGCAGCCAGCACGUCGGGCCGGCGUCUUUUUGUGUUCUUCCACUGGGAAUCUACAGUCUGACCUUGGGGACAUGAGGUGGCCCUGUGUCUCCGCCGAUCAGGGACAGUCUAGGACGCAGCCCCGGGGAAGCUGCAAGACAGAGCGCGGUCAGGGGCCACAGCUCUCAGGGCACUGUCCCGGGCUGGGGCUCCCGAACAGGACACCCACAGAGG
Long non-coding RNA from Chinchilla lanigera (long-tailed chinchilla), 1578 nucleotides. RefSeq lists it as uncharacterized. The transcript has 3 exons. The record is from RefSeq and is a predicted model, not a curated record. Lineage: Eukaryota; Metazoa; Chordata; Mammalia; Rodentia; Chinchillidae.